GCUAGUUUAGUAUAAUUUUAAGUACGUGGAAUUGUAGCUUCUAAGGUAAUCAGUAUGUUAACUAGAA
RNAcentral lists this transfer RNA (67 nucleotides) under Paragyrodactylus variegatus. RNAcentral describes it as "tRNA-Tyr". The record is from RNAcentral. Lineage: Eukaryota; Metazoa; Platyhelminthes; Monogenea; Gyrodactylidea; Gyrodactylidae.